This 355-nucleotide long non-coding RNA is filed under the name Eucalyptus grandis. RNAcentral describes it as "long non-coding RNA (EGRA_LNC001672)". Lineage: Eukaryota; Viridiplantae; Streptophyta; Magnoliopsida; Myrtales; Myrtaceae. The record is from RNAcentral.
AAAAGAAAAAUGUGUGUAAAAAGAAGAAAAAAGAAGCAAAAACGAUUCGACUCUCCGCACUUUAGGGGGUCAAUGUCUGGUUGGCCAAUGCAAGCGUGUUUCUCAUGCUAUAGGAUGAAAGAUCUUCAGUGGCAUUGUCAGUCCUGGCUUCGUCUCCAUAGUGAGAUGCUUUAGGGAUGUGAUUCCACUGUUCAUCUGUGUUGUGUACUAUUGGCGUUUGGCAGAAGUUAUUUGGCCAGUAAGUAGCUGGCUAAACAAGAGCUGCCUAGCUGCUCCCUGGGAGCUUGUGGAUGUAUCUUCUGUUAUUUAUUUCAAUUCCAUUUUUCUUUUUCUCUUGGCUGUGUGAAGAUUCGUG